Molecule: ribosomal RNA, 253 nt
Filed under: uncultured bacterium
Lineage: Bacteria
Description: partial 16S ribosomal RNA
Rfam family: Bacterial small subunit ribosomal RNA
Source: RNAcentral
UACGUAGGGUGCAAGCGUUGUCCGGAAUUAUUGGGCGUAAAGAGCUCGUAGGCGGUUUGUUGCGUCGGCUGUGAAAUCCCGAGGCUCAACCUCGGGUCUGCAGUCGAUACGAGCAAACUAGAGUGUUGCAGGGGAGACUGGAAUUCCUGGUGUAGCGGUGAAAUGCGUAGAUAUCUGGAGGAACACCGGUGGCGAAGGCGGCGUCCUGGACCAAUACUGACACUGAACAGCGAAAGCCAGGGGAGCAAACGGG